Molecule: transfer RNA, 71 nt
Filed under: Cyclopsetta fimbriata (spotfin flounder)
Lineage: Eukaryota; Metazoa; Chordata; Actinopteri; Pleuronectiformes; Cyclopsettidae
Description: tRNA-Tyr
Rfam family: tRNA
About the family: Transfer RNA (tRNA) molecules are approximately 80 nucleotides in length. Their secondary structure includes four short double-helical elements and three loops (D, anti-codon, and T loops).
Source: RNAcentral
GGUAAGAUGACUGAGUCGUCAAGUGGUGGAUUGUAGUCCCAUAAACAGAGGUUCAAGCCCUCUUCUUACCA